AGUGGUGAACUCCACAUACGCAUCCUUUGCUGAGGAUACGGUUAACGGAGCGAAAGCGACGUUCAACCGCAAAAGAAGCAGAGGGGGCUUAGUGGUGGGGUGACUGCGUACCUUUUGUAUAAUGGGUCAGCGACUUAUAUUCUGUAGCAAGGUUAACCGAAUAGGGGAGCCGGAGGGAAACCGAGUCUUAACCGGGCGUUAAGUUGCAGGGUAUAGACCCGAAACCCGGUGAUCUAGCCAUGGGCAGGUUGAAGGUUGGGUAACACUAACUGGAGGACCGAACCGACUAAUGUUGAAAAAUUAGCGGAUGACCUGUGGCUGGGGGUGAAAGGCCAAUCAAACCGGGAGAUAGCUGGUUCUCCCCGAAAGCUAUUUAGGUAGCGCCUCGUGAAUUCAUCUCCGGGGGUAGAGCACUGUUUCGGCUAGGGGGCCAUCCCGGCUUACCAACCCGAUGCAAACUGCGAAUACCGGAGAAUGUUAUCACGGGAGACACACGGCGGGUGCUAACGUCCGUCGUGAAGAGGGAAACAACCCAGACCGCCAGCUAAGGUCCCAAAGUCAUGGUUAAGUGGGAAACGAUGUGGGAAGGCCCAGACAGCCAGGAUGUUGGCUUAGAAGCAGCCAUCAUUUAAAGAAAGCGUAAUAGCUCACUGGUCGAGUCGGCCUGCGCGGAAGAUGUAACGGGGCUAAACCAUGCACCGAAGCUGCGGCAGCGAACGUAUCACUUAAAGCGAUUCAGCGGGUUACGAUUGACGGAGCGAAGCGACGUCAAAGCGUAUACAAAGUCGAGUCGGUUUAAGGAUACGUUCGUUGGGUAGGGGAGCGUUCUGUAAGCCUGUGAAGGUGGCCUGUGAGGGUUGCUGGAGGUAUCAGAAGUGCGAAUGCUGACAUAAGUAACGA
Molecule: ribosomal RNA, 900 nt
Filed under: Salmonella enterica subsp. enterica serovar Dublin
Lineage: Bacteria; Pseudomonadati; Pseudomonadota; Gammaproteobacteria; Enterobacterales; Enterobacteriaceae
Description: partial 23S ribosomal RNA
Rfam family: Bacterial large subunit ribosomal RNA
Source: RNAcentral